UUAAUGACUCUCGGCAACGGAUAUCUCGGCUCUCGCAUCGAUGAAGAACGUAGCGAAAUGCGAUACUUGGUGUGAAUUGCAGAAUCCCGUGAACCAUCGAGUCUUUGAACGCAAGUUGCGCCCGAAGCCAUCUGGUUGAGGGCACGUCUGCCUGGGCGUCACGU
This 164-nucleotide ribosomal RNA is filed under the name Spuriomitella integripetala. Its description in RNAcentral is "Mitella integripetala 5.8S ribosomal RNA". It matches the Rfam family "5.8S ribosomal RNA". From Rfam's summary of the family: 5.8S ribosomal RNA (5.8S rRNA) is a component of the large subunit of the eukaryotic ribosome. It is transcribed by RNA polymerase I as part of the 45S precursor that also contains 18S and 28S rRNA. Functionally, it is thought that 5.8S rRNA may be involved in ribosome translocation. Lineage: Eukaryota; Viridiplantae; Streptophyta; Magnoliopsida; Saxifragales; Saxifragaceae. The record is from RNAcentral.